This 1493-nucleotide ribosomal RNA is filed under the name uncultured bacterium. RNAcentral's name for it is "16S ribosomal RNA". It matches the Rfam family "Bacterial small subunit ribosomal RNA". The record is from RNAcentral.
GAUCAUGGCUCAGGAUGAACGCUGGCGGCAUGCCUAAUACAUGCAAGUCGAACGGAGUGAAGCCUUCGGGUUUCAUUCAGUGGCGAACGGGUGAGUAAUACGCAGGGAACCUGGCCAUGGCAGGGGGAUACACUCUGGAAACGGAGCAUAAGACCCCAUAGGCAGUAAGGCGGCAUCGCCUUACUGUUAAAGAAAGCUGAAAGGCUUUGGCGAUGGAUGGACCUGCGGUGCAUUAGCUUGUUGGUGAGGCAACGGCUUACCAAGGCGAUGAUGCAUAGCCGGCCUGAGAGGGCGGACGGCCACACUGGGACUGAGACACGGCCCAGACUCCUGCGGGAGGCAGCAGUAGGGAAUUUUCGUCAAUGGGCGCAAGCCUGAACGAGCAAUGCCGCGUGAGUGAGGAAGGUCUUCGGACUGUAAAUCUCUGUUGCCGGGGAAAAAGGGGAAAUGCAGGAAAUGGCAUUUCAUGGAUGGUACCCGGCCAGAAAGCCACGGCUAACUACGUGCCAGCAGCCGCGGUAAUACGUAGGUGGCGAGCGUUAUCCGGAAUGAUUGGGCGUAAAGGGUGCGCAGGCGGUCUGUUAAGUCUGAAGGCAAAGGGAUGAGCUCAACUCAUUUAUGAUUCAGAAACUGGCAGACUUGAGGACAGGAGAGGGCGGUGGAACUCCAUGUGUAGCGGUAAAAUGCGCAGAGAUAUGGAAGAACACCAGUGGCGAAGGCGGCCGCCUGGCCUGUGACUGACGCUGAGGCACGAAAGCGUGGGGAGCAAAUAGGAUUAGAUACCCUAGUAGUCCACGCCGUAAACGAUGAGGAGCAGGUGUUGGGAGUGAAAUCUCAGUGCCGAAGCCAACGCAGUGACUCCUCCGCCUGGGGAGUAUGCACGCAAGUGUGAGACUCAAAGGAAUUGACGGGGGCCCGCACAAGCGGUGGAGUAUGUGGUUUAAUUCGAAGCAACGCGAAGAACCUUACCAGGUUUUGACAUCGGAUGCGAAGGCGCAGAGAUGCGCUGGAGGCUAUCAUCCAGACAGGUGGUGCAUGGUUGUCGUCAGCUCGUGUCGUGAGAUGUUCAGUUAAGUCUGGCAACGAGCGCAACCCCCGUGGUAUGUUACUAACGCUUUAGGGCGAGGACUCAUAUCAGACUGCCGGUGACAAACCGGAGGAAGGCGGGGAUGACGUCAAAUCAUCAUGCCCCUUAUGACCUGGGCUACACACGUACUACAAUGGCGUCUACAGAGGGAAGCGACCCUGAGAAGGGAAGCGAAACCGGAAAAGGGCGUCCCAGUUCGGAUUGAAGUCUGCAACCCGACUUCAUGAAGAUGGAAUCGCUAGUAAUCGCGGAUCAGCAUGCCGCGGUGAAUACGUUCCCGGGCCUUGUACACACCGCCCGUCAAACCAUGGAAGCCGGCAACGCCCGAAGCCGGUGGCAUAACCUUUUAGGAGUGAGCCGUCGAAGGCGGGGCCGAUGACUGGGGUUAAGUCGUAAAAAGGUAUCC